GACGAACGCUGGCGGCGUGCCUAAUACAUGCAAGUCGAACGCACUCUCGUUUAGAUUGAAGGAGCUUGCUCCUGAUUGAUAAACAUUUGAGUGAGUGGCGGACGGGUGAGUAACACGUGGGUAACCUGCCCUAAAGUGGGGGAUAACAUUUGGAAACAGAUGCUAAUACCGCAUAAAACCUAACACCGCAUGGUGUAGGGUUGAAAGAUGGUUUCGGCUAUCACUUUAGGAUGGACCCGCGGUGCAUUAGUUAGUUGGUGAGGUAAAGGCUCACCAAGACCGUGAUGCAUAGCCGACCUGAGAGGGUAAUCGGCCACACUGGGACUGAGACACGGCCCAGACUCCUACGGGAGGCAGCAGUAGGGAAUCUUCCACAAUGGACGAAAGUCUGAUGGAGCAACGCCGCGUGAGUGAAGAAGGUUUUCGGAUCGUAAAACUCUGUUGUUGGAGAAGAAUGUAUUUGAUAGUAACUGAUCAGGUAGUGACGGUAUCCAAACCAGAAAAGCCCACGG
This 512-nucleotide ribosomal RNA is filed under the name uncultured bacterium. RNAcentral's name for it is "bacterial SSU rRNA". It matches the Rfam family "Bacterial small subunit ribosomal RNA", at positions 28 to 499 of the family's 1533-position model. The record is from RNAcentral.